This is a long non-coding RNA of Cavia porcellus (domestic guinea pig), 5758 nucleotides long. RefSeq lists it as uncharacterized. The record is from RefSeq and is a predicted model, not a curated record. NCBI's taxonomy places the organism in Eukaryota, Metazoa, Chordata, Mammalia, Rodentia, Caviidae. The transcript is spliced from 4 exons.
AGAUUACCUGUGAGGCAAGGACAGUGAGUCACAUAAUUAACUGUUAGCAUAGUGUCUGAGAUGUGUUACAAUGUGAAGGAAGCUGCUCAAAUUGGGAACCUGACUCCAAACCCAGUCAUCCAGGAUACAGACCUCAUUCAUCCACAUCUUCCCCCAAACUGUCAUUUCUCUUUGCAAACAGACAUUGCAAUGUUCCAAAUGAACUCAACCCCUGGAUGCAGAACUGACCCAGGAGUGGUAAGUGGCAGGAUUUCGAGAACAGUCCUUUGAAAGAUUAGAAUAAAAGGUCAGAGCAGGACAGUUGUGGUAGCAGCUAUGAACCCAGUUACUCAUGAGGCUGAAGCAGGAAGAUUAAUCGAACCCAUGAGUUUGGGACCAACCUGGGCAACAUAGAACUUAUCUCUUAAGGAGUUCAAAGCAUUAAAUAAUGGGAGGCUUUUACAUACCAUUGGUAAUAAAAUAAUAGGACAUAGUUAUGGGUUAAUUGAAAGGCAUGCAAACUUCAUGUAGUCUGAAAACCAGAAAAUGUUGCCAAUAGAAAUUAGAGACCUAAAUAAAUAUUUGUACCCAAUUUAUGGAUUGAAAAAUUUAAUGUUGUUAGGAUGUUUGUUGUCCCUGAAGUGAUUUAUCGAGUCAAUACAAUCAAAAUCAAAAUACCAGCAAGUUUUGGUAUAGAAACUGACAAACUGAUUCUAAAAUUCAUGUGGAAAUAUAAGUAAUAUUUAAAACAAUCUUGAAAAAGUAGAAAGAAGUUAGAGGACCUACUACUUUAUUUCAAGACCUGUGAUAGAGCUGCAGAGAGCAAAACCGUGGGCCACUGGUGUAAAGAAAGAUACACAAAAUAGACUCACUAUAUAGUCAAAUUAAUUCUUGACCAAAUGCUAUCAUAAUUCAAUGGGGGAAAAUAUUGUAUGUGAGCAACUGGAGAUCCACUUACAAAAUGAUGAAUCUUGACCCUUGCUGCGUACACAAGCAGUAACUCAAAGUAGAUUGUAGGCCUAAACAUAAAAAACAAAAACUAUAAAAUUUCUAGAAGAAAACAGGAGAAAAUCUUCAUGACUUCUUAGGAUAGAAAAAGCACUAACUAAAAAGGGAAAAACAAUAAAUUGGAUUUGAAAAAAAUAAAAUUCUGCUCUUCCAAAGAUGCCAUUUAAAACAAAGGAUUUCAGAGCCUUAUAAAACAUCACUUAAACACAUAUAGCAACAAUGUGGUCGUACAAGCUUGUCAUCUCAGCCCUCUGGAAGACUGAGGAAGGAGGAUCCAUGUUUGAGCCAAGGCUAAGGAACUUAGCAACUUAGCGAAAUCUGUCUCAAAACAAAAAAUAAAAAGGAUUUGGAAUAUAGCUCAGUAGACGGGCCCCGAGUUCAGUCCCCAAUAUAGAAAACAAAACAAAAAACACACAAGGACUUUGCAUAUUUUUAAGAAGAAAGUUAUAGUGUCUCUGCUAUAUGUUUCAAUCCAACUAGACAUAUCAACCUUAUUUUCUGUUCAAGUGGACCAACAGAACAUGUAGUAUUAGAGGGUCAUUCUUGGGUGCUGGGGAUUUAGCUCAGCGGCAUAAGCACCUGCCUUGUAAGCAGGCGGUCGUGAGUUCGAUCCCUGGUACCGGUAAAAAUGAAAAAGACAAAAAAAAAAAAAAAAAAAAAAAAGAGGGUCAUUCUUGAAGUUUUAACUCGCAUGGCCGAAAUAGAAUCAGUGCCAGUUAGCCAGAAUGACUGCAGAUUGCGGUCAAAAGGGAAAACAUUUGUCCAAAACAUCUGAACAAGUGGGGAUGAAUACUUGGUCCAGCAGUGAGAGUAUUAAGUGGGAAAUGUGAAUCAGCAUGUCUGAAGCCAGACAGACUGGGAACAAAGUGUGAAGGGGGAAAGUGAAGGGCAUGCGAGGUCAAGGUGAUUCAGCAGUGAGGCUCCAAGCAGUGCAAGAGACGAUGGACCCCAUUUCGUAGGUGCUGCCUCUUGACAGCUUAAAACUUCCAGGCAGAAUGAGACAUGUGCAAUCUAAGAUUUUUAAGGUCUGGCACAAUUUAAAACCUCUACCAGUUAAGCAAAUUGAUUGCUAAAGAUUUCUUGUCAGGCACCUGGACAGCUACCACUGAAUUUCUCUUGAGCUUUAACCUUGAUGCCUCUUCAUUCUCUGGCACUCACUACCUUUGACUAAUACAGACAUAGUGGUGCUAACAAGCCACAUUUCUCCAGCCUGCAACUUCAGUGUUUAUCAGUGUAGUAAAACUCUUUUUAGGGCUGGGCCAUAAAUAUAGAGAUGAUAUUCCUUCUCCAUCCUCUCCUUCCUUCCUGUCUCGAGGAACAUAGUCUUUCAGUACCAGGAAUCAAACUCACGGCUGCCUGCUUACAAGGCAGGCUCUUAUGCCACUGAGCUAAAUCCCCAGCCCCUAGGAACAUAGUUUUUAUUGUCCAUCUUCCCAUAAGGUCUUAUUACUGUCUCAUCAUGGGACUGGGUUUUGACCAAUAGUGUGCGGGAGGAAGUAACGCACUGCUUCCAAACACAGUCGUCACAAGCUCCUUAAGUCUGACCUAUGUCUCUGUUCAUCAGCCAACUGCAGGCAGAGGAGUUAAGGGAGGACUUCAAGAUGGAAGAAGCUUGCCUUCCAUGAUAAAACACCAAAAAUAUCCAAUCUUACUGUGUUUGAAGGUGAGGGAAACACUUGUUUACUUUAAAGAGCUACUAAGAGUUGAGGUUUAUUCCAGGAGCAUUACCCUAAUGCAAGUCUAUGGAGCUCUACCUCAUAGCUUGAAGGUUCUACAGGUAUCUGAAGGGUUUUGUUUUGUUUUGUUUGUUUUAUCAGUACCAGGGUUCAAACUCACGACCGCCGGCUUGCAAGGCAGGUGCUUAUGCCGCUGAGCUAAAUCCCCAGCCCAGGUAUCUGAAGUUUGGACAAAGAUCACUUAGCUGCAUCAGUGAAGAGCCAGAAUUUGGAUGGAGGUUCCAUAAAAAAGUUCGGUGAACGCUGUUGCAGAGUGCCAUCCACCAGAAAGGCAGGCUCAUAAAAACAUCACAUAUGGUGCAUCCUCCUCCACCUACUUCCCAGGAUCUGGCACCGUAGGACUCUGGCUCUUCCCCAAAGUCAAAACGGCCAUGAAAGGAAAAGCACCCACAGAGGCAAGGUUUCCUAAGGCUUUGAAGUCAAGGACUUCACUCCAGGCUCCUGCUUACCAACUCCAAGAACUCCAGGUGUUCUGGAAUUCUCAGAGAUAGGACGUCUGUAUGGAUUCAGAUUGCAGAGCAAUUGUGCACAUCACCUUCCCAGCGUGCCUGAGGCUCAGCGAGGACUCGAUCCGUGCAAGGAGCCUUGUAGCAGCAGCAAAGCCUGCACUGUCUCCGAGAGCCAGCUGGCUGACAACUCCAAAGUCACAACACCUCAUCAGGCACAGCAGUCAUUCCAUAGCAUCUUCACAGCAGCCUCCGGAGAGGUGCUGACGGAGUCUUCAGCCGACCAGGCGAGAUCCCCACUUAUAAAAGCUUCCAGACCUCCGCAGUAAUUUCCCCCUCUCUCUGCUACCCUGGGGCCUUUUCCAUCUUAGCUCUAUUUCUCCAGCAACAGGACAGAAAAGACUCUUGUUUUGAGCAAGUGUAAAAGAAGGAGCGUAGACUUGGACCACUCAGGAACUGGCUUUGCAGCCUGACUCUGCCAGAAACAACCUGGGAGGAGUCAAGUCAACCUCUCUGAGCCUCGGUGGCUGGUUAGACUACAGGAUGGCGCCAUGGCGACAUAUUAGUAACAGUUGUCCCACAAUUACUGGAGUGUGAUGGUGUAAACACACGCAGACUUUGAGAUCAGAGUCCUUUGGGUUUACUCUGGUCUGAAUAUUUGUGUCUCCUCAAAAUUCAUGUGUUGAAAUCCUAACUUGUAGAGUGGUGGCUUUAAGAUUGAGAGGUUAUGGUUCUUGAGAGUAGAGCCCUCAUGGAAAGGAUUAGUGUCCUUUACAAAAGAGGCACCCCAGCCCCCUUUCCCAUGGGGAGAUACAGUGAAAAGGCCAUGCUGAAAGUGGACCUUAGCAGACACUGGAACCUGCGGAUGUUUUCUCAAACUUCCUAGUUUGUAGAAGUGUGAGGAAUGAGUUUGUCAGUCACAGCCUGCCAGUUUGUGGUGUUUCCUUGUAGCAGUCCAAAGGGAUUGAUGAGCUCCACCAUUGACUCUAUCCUUUGAAGGCACAGGACCUCCCCUCUCUAAGUUUUUCCCUUUGUCAAAUGGAGAAUAGUGCUACCUCUUACAAAGGCGUUUUUGGGAAGAUUAGAGGAGAUAAUUAGACGUGAAGCUUUGCUCUCCUGGACACAAAGACCGCUGUAAAGGUCAGUAAUUAUUUUCAUUAUAGUUUUGUUAUUUCACAAGCCCCAUGGCAUAUAGUAUGGUUUCCCAGCUGCAUGUGGUAGAUGCUCAACGAAUAGCUGUGGAAUAAGUAGAUGGAUGAAGGCGUGAAUGAAAGAGUCACCAGCAUUCUCAGUCUGAAACACUUUCUCAUGCCAAAUCUCUGUUGCCUCAGUACCCCUAGAAUCUCAGUAGCCUCAAAAUUUUCAAAUUUUUUAUUUCCCCCUGACCUGAUCAGGUACAUUUUUUUUUUUAAUCGGUAUGGGGGAUUGAACUCACGACUGCCUGCUUGCACGGCAGGUGCUUAUGCCGCUAAGCUAAAUCCCCAGCCCCUAGGUACAAUUUUUGACAUAGCCUUAAAACAUGGACCUUACUUCUCUGUUCUUGGUGAACUUGGUGAGUUAUUUCUUUUUGGGGGGAAUGGGGUUGAGACAGCAGGGUCUUUCUGCAUAUUUAAGGCUCCACAGCAGUCUUCCUGCCUCAGCCUCUCGAGUGCUGGGAUUACAGGCAAGCACGACCACACCUGACAAUUACUCAUUUCUAACAGAAAAUAAAGCAGGAGGAACAGUGUGGCACUCCUAAGACGAGGUCCUAGAGACCUUAAGGCUUCCAAAUUGGUCUCUCUCUUGGACGGCCCGCUCAGGGAAGGCAGCUGCUAGGUUUUGAGCAUGCUCACACGGCUCAGUGGAGCUGACACGUAAGGAGACCAAGGCCUCCUGCUAGCAGCCACGUGAGUGAGUGCACUAUCACUGAAGCAGAUAUUUCAGCUCCAGUGAAGGCUUCAGAUGACCACAGCCCGGGCCAACAAUUUGACUGUAAUCUCCUAAGGCACCCUGAGCCAGAACUACUCAGAUGUCCCACUACCAGUUUCCUGACUCACAAAAACUGUGAGAUAAAUAAAUGUUUUCAGUUGUUAUGUUUGAGGAUAAUCCAUUUUAUGGCAAUAGAGAAAAUUAGCACAAUCUGUACAGGUAUUUUUUCCCCACUGUGAUACUGGGGAUUAAACCCAGGAUCUCACACGUGCUAGGCAAGUACUCUAUCCCUGAGCUUCAUUCUUCGCCCCUCCUCCGACACGGCAGAUUGAAUCCAGAGCCUUCACGCUGAUCUACCCCGUGCUGUUUAUUCUUUCAUCUGUCUUUCAUUUUGUUCUUUAACUUAUUUAUACUCCAGGUUUCUCACAUAAGAGGAACCAUACAGUGUUUUAAGCUUGUGUGUCUGAUUUAUUUUACUUAACGUUAGGGUUUCAAGGCGCAUCUAUUUUUCUACAAAUCACACAAAUUUAUCAUUCUUUAUAACACAGUAGUAUUCCAUUGUGCAUAAAUAUUGCAUUUUAAUUGUUCAUUAAUCUACUGAUGAACAUAGGCCAGCCACUUCCAAGAUUUAACUGUUAUGAAUUGUGCUAUUGUGCUGCUAUAAACAUGAGUAUGCAUGUA